RNAcentral lists this ribosomal RNA (253 nucleotides) under uncultured bacterium. Its description in RNAcentral is "partial 16S ribosomal RNA". It matches the Rfam family "Bacterial small subunit ribosomal RNA", at positions 524 to 776 of the family's 1533-position model. The record is from RNAcentral.
UACGUAGGGGGCAAGCGUUGUCCGGAAUCAUUGGGCGUAAAGCGCGCGUAGGCGGCCCGGUAAGUCCGUUGUGAAAGUCAAAGGCUCAACCUUUGAACGCCGAUGGAUACUGCCGGGCUAGAGUCCGGAAGAGGCGAGUAGAAUUCCUGGUGUAGCGGUGAAAUGCGUAGAUAUCAGGAGGAAUACCGGUGGUGUAGACGGCUCUCUGGACCGCGACUGACGCUGAGACACGAAAGCGUGGGUAGCAAACAGG